CAACGUCCCAUUGGGAACCUACGGCUCGAUCGCCGAAUCUACGUCUCGAUCGUCAAAUCUACGUCGAAUCUAUGGCUCGAUCAUCGAAUCUAUGGCUCGAUCAUCGAAUCUACAUCUCGAUCGUCGAACCUACGGCUCGAUCACCGAAUCUACGUCUCAAUCAUCGAAUCUAUGUCUCAAUCGCCGAAUCUAUGGCUCGAUCGCCGACAACGCAUGACUCUUAUAAGAACCAUUCUAUCUACACUAACGGAAGGUCAGCGCUGGCGAUGAAACCUCUCUAAGUUGAAGCUGUGCUCCUUCCAC
This 303-nucleotide long non-coding RNA is filed under the name Elaeis guineensis (African oil palm). Its description in RNAcentral is "long non-coding RNA (EGUI_LNC034639)". Lineage: Eukaryota; Viridiplantae; Streptophyta; Magnoliopsida; Arecales; Arecaceae. The record is from RNAcentral.